CUAUGCUGGAAUUUGCGACGGGUUGAC
RNAcentral lists this non-coding RNA (27 nucleotides) under Thalassiosira punctigera. Lineage: Eukaryota; Bacillariophyta; Thalassiosirophyceae; Thalassiosirales; Thalassiosiraceae. The record is from RNAcentral.